GCCUUUUAAAUCCCAUUAGCCUGCAAGAAAAAGAAACAAAAAUUAAGAUGGUUCAAAACAAAAGUUUGAUUCUCUGAAAAGUCAUAAGCUACAGCAUGCCCCAACAAGAUGACAAAACACAUUCAAAACAAAAUCAGUGAAUGUGUCAACAUAAAAAUAAAAGCAUCUAUAGAUUAAUAUGCACAAGAAUUCAGCCUCAAGUUCAUUCAAAAUUAUAAGAAUAAUUAAAAACAA
Molecule: unclassified non-coding RNA, 234 nt
Filed under: Hevea brasiliensis (rubber tree)
Lineage: Eukaryota; Viridiplantae; Streptophyta; Magnoliopsida; Malpighiales; Euphorbiaceae
Source: RNAcentral